Molecule: non-coding RNA, 20 nt
Filed under: Arabidopsis thaliana (thale cress)
Lineage: Eukaryota; Viridiplantae; Streptophyta; Magnoliopsida; Brassicales; Brassicaceae
Source: RNAcentral
GAUAGUUUGGCCGAGUGGUC